This 2556-nucleotide long non-coding RNA is filed under the name Homo sapiens (human). Its description in RNAcentral is "NR2F1 regulatory antisense RNA 1, transcript variant 12 (NR2F1-AS1)". Lineage: Eukaryota; Metazoa; Chordata; Mammalia; Primates; Hominidae. The record is from RNAcentral.
GUCUCAGCUCGAGCAUUCCUAGCGCCAACACGCCCUCAGGUAAAGGUGGAAGUAAAUGGCCACGCUGUAUUGACAGAGCAGGUAGAUGAAACUCAAGAGAAAAGGUGUGGAUAAAUGAAACUAGCCCAUGAUGAACCUGUUUUCUCCGUGACCACAAUAUUAACCAGGAUGAAUGGCGGUGGCAGUGGGCCUGCAUCACAGGUUGCAGCAGAUGUUCUCAAUAUUUCUAUUAAAAUUUCCUUAUUUCCAUAUGCAAGAGGAGCCCCAGAGCUGCAUCCUUAUGGUAGCUACCAUGCCGUGAUGUAAGCUGCCAUUCACUGGGGAGCUUUGGCAAUAGAAUUGGCUAGAUCAGGAAGCCUAUGUCAACUAUGGAACAACAACUUGCAGCUCAUCUCUAUUGAUGGAAUCUAAUGACCAUUGAACUGUGGCCAUGACUUCAAUUACAAGUAUUUUCUUCACUAAUGUCAGACUGUGGGCCUUUGUAUAUACACUUUUAACAAACUUUUUGGAAGUGCAAUACAUAUCGCAACAACUUCUCAAUGCUGAAUCAUAGUAUUGGAAGACAUUUUAAGCAACAAUUAAACUCAACUUAUUUACUACCAAUAAUGUACAUAAGUCAGCUGAAGUGAGGAUAACAUGAAUAGCACAAAUACAUUAUGAUUGCUGCCUGGCCAACAGUAAUUAUAAGAAACUGUCAGUUUUGAGAUGUGUCUUGAUUUCAGAGAUGUUAAAAAAGUUUGUAAGUUACCAUUGAUAAAAUAUGAGUUUGCUUCCACAAAUAUUCUUUCUUCUGUCCUUCUGGAACUCAAGAGUAAACAUAUAUUAGAUUUUCUCACCAUUUCAUGCAUGCUGGUUCCUAGGCUACUCUCUGAGUCAUUUUUUUUUUCUUAUCUGCCCUCCAGUUCACUAGUUCUGUCAUUUUCUGGGUCUGAUCUGCUGCAAAUGCAAUACAUUGAGUUUUAAAUUUCAGUCAUUGUGUUUUCAUUUCUAGAAAUUUCAUUUGACUCUUUCUCAAAUUACUUUUCCAUUUUUUUUGUAGUUUCCUAUCCCUGGAGAUAUUUUCAAUCAUGCCAUUUAAUUUUUUAAAUACGCAAGUGUAGUUUUAUAAUUUGUGUCUGAUAAUUCUAAUAUCUGAAGUCUUAGUAGGUCUGUUUCAGUUGUCCUGUAAUUAUGCAUGUUUUUGCCCAUGUUGCUUUGUUUCCUUGUAUGCUUGGUUAUCUUUCUUACUGCCCUUGCAAAAUUAUUUGGAGAGUCCUGGAGGCUUAAAUGAAGAUAACUUUUAGGAAUAAUUUGCAUUUGCUUUUGCCGAGGAUCUUGGGAUCAUUUCAACCAAAAUCUUAGCUUGAAAUUCCGCAAUCAAUCAAGGUGAUGAGAACCUGGUCAGUAAAUCCUAAUGAGGGCCAGGCUGUGGCCAAAGAUUUUUAGACAGAUGUUUCCCUCCUUUGCCAUUUCUCUUUUCUUUCCUCCUCUGCUCCUCUUAGUGUCCAGACAACCUUCAUGGAAGUCCUUGGGGUGGGUGGGAAAUGAGGACGGCAGGUUUCAUUCUAGGUAUAGCCCUUUGAGGUCUAACUUAAUGCAGAGAGAGUUUUCUGGUCUAUGUGCCACCUUACAUGGGAUCUUGAGCCUUGAUUUCUAAACCCCUUGCCUUUGAUGUUUCAGAAUUGAAGCUUAAAUUUGCCAACAGGCAAAUGUCCUCAAGGCAAAUUGGCUUAGGUGUUCGAUAUUCUUCUUACCAGAAAGGUAAACUUGGGUUUUUUACUUCACCCAGGAUUUGGCAUGACAGUUCCCCAUUAUCUUGUCAGCUUAGUGCUUUAAGUGAUUGCAUUUAAAAAAAUUCUGCAUUUUCAGUUUUUAGCAGGAGGAAUGGCCUCAACUAGUGGUUUUCAACUGGGGAUGAUUUUUUUCCCCUAGGGGACAUUUGAUAAUGUUUGGAGAUGUUUUAGUUGUUAGAACUGGGGUUGGGGGAACUACUGUCAUCUGGUGGGGAGAGACCGGCAAUGCUGUUGAUCUUACUAUAAUGCACAGGCCACCCCCAACAACAAACAAAUUACAUAGCCCCAAAUAUCAAUAAUGCCAAGGUCCAAAUAACCUAACCUUCCAUUACUGAAAAUAGAAGUUCAAGAAGAUAGUUUAUAAUUUAAAAAUUUUUAGGUCUUAAUAAGUUGUCAUACUUUCACAGGUUUUAUUUCAUACUAAGUAAUUUAUUUCAAAUUUUACAUUCCAAUUACAGAAAAUUUUCUAAGCCAGUUUUUGUUCUUCAUGAGUAUUACUAUCAAGGUCACAUUUUUCAUCUAGUAUGUUUUACCCUGGUACUUGUUGGCAGGGUCAGGACUAAGGUGAGAUGCGCAAGGCAUUUGCCUCACACAAAAUGCACAAUGAAUAAAAUGUCAAAACUUUAAAUAAAGACAGAAUCACUAAAAGUACUUUGCCAUAUUGGAACCUGAGGCAAAAAGAAAAAUAAGUAAUAAUAUUUAAAAUUUUGAUCUCUUGUUCAUUGUAGAUUUUUACAUUAAUUUUGAUUGUUUAAAACAUUGCAUUAAAAUAUUAUUUAAUGUG